RNAcentral lists this ribosomal RNA (253 nucleotides) under uncultured bacterium. RNAcentral describes it as "partial 16S ribosomal RNA". It matches the Rfam family "Bacterial small subunit ribosomal RNA", at positions 524 to 776 of the family's 1533-position model. The record is from RNAcentral.
UACGAAGGGGGCUAGCGUUGCUCGGAAUCACUGGGCGUAAAGGGUGCGUAGGCGGGUCUUUAAGUCCGGGGUGAAAUCCUGGAGCUCAACUCCAGAACUGCCUUUGAUACUGAAGAUCUUGAGUUCGGGAGAGGUGAGUGGAACUGCGAGUGUAGAGGUGAAAUUCGUAGAUAUUCGCAAGAACACCAGUGGCGAAGGCGGCUCACUGGCCCGAUACUGACGCUGAGGCGCGAAAGCGUGGGUAGCAAACAGG